Molecule: long non-coding RNA, 491 nt
Organism: Myotis myotis
Lineage: Eukaryota; Metazoa; Chordata; Mammalia; Chiroptera; Vespertilionidae
Exons: 3
Source: RefSeq, a predicted model, not a curated record
UCUGAGCUGACCUGUUCCCUCUUGGCCUGGCCUGACUCCAAAGCCCACGGCCUGGUCACUGUCCUCAUGUUGGCUGGACCUGGACAGUCUCUGUGGCUAUCCUGCCACGUGUUUCAGGCUAUGUGAUGGAGGUGGCCUGUCGGCACUGAGAAUCAGCGGCGUCUGCUGCAUGGCAGACCUCGAGUGCUGAGGGUGAGACCACUGUCUGCUCCAACCACAGGUCUCGCCACCCUCCUGCCACCUGACAGCACCUGCAUGCACACAAGUGCACCUGCGCGCAUUUUACAGCCUAUUCCUGACGUGUCCACGGAGGACAGGCUGGGAAGAUGGUGCGAGCAGCUGAGAAUUAAUCGAGGAAACCUAUGAUGAAAUUGCCUAAGUCCUGGAAGCCCGACAGCAGAAGACCAAUCAAUGACCUGCUUAUGUUUGUUGUCCAUCAUUCAUCUCUAGUCCUCUUCCUGGCACAUUCCGCCCAUACUUUGGUUGUCUGA